CUUAGGAUGUUUUCGUUUCUAUUUAAGUAUUUACAAGUAAAUAAGCUAUUUUAUUCAGCCAUCAAAAAAUACUGUAACUAAAAUACGUUGCUGCUGCUGUAUGGUAGCUGGAUCAUUAAUUUAAUAUAAUGGCUUCAUUUUAGAGACAGGCUUUUUAUCAGCAAGCCUAGUCAAUCCAAUAGUAAAGGUCACAACUCAUCUGUUUUUGUUUUAUUGCUUCACCAUUUGCCAGCUUACAGAACUACAUGGAAAGCUAAAUCUGUUCAAGAGAAGACUCUCAUGAGAGAAAAAGAAGCUACAAUGUGGGGGAUACUUGUUCCUCCACCACGUGUUUCCAGCAGUUUAUGGAUGACAUAUAAGCAGUGCUCAGGAAUCCCUGCCAAGCUCUGUACACCUGGCAAGUAUGAAAAGAGCCCAGAAGGUAUCUUUGAUCAUCAAGGCCUUCCAUCACUAUCCUAUAGAAAUUCACUGUGGAAUGGCUAA
This 483-nucleotide long non-coding RNA is filed under the name Parus major (Great Tit). Its description in RNAcentral is "lncRNA (ENSPMJG00000000522.1)". The record is from RNAcentral. Lineage: Eukaryota; Metazoa; Chordata; Aves; Passeriformes; Paridae.